RNAcentral lists this ribosomal RNA (318 nucleotides) under Salmonella enterica subsp. enterica serovar Typhimurium. Its description in RNAcentral is "partial 23S ribosomal RNA". It matches the Rfam family "Bacterial large subunit ribosomal RNA", at positions 1088 to 1320 of the family's 2925-position model. The record is from RNAcentral. Lineage: Bacteria; Pseudomonadati; Pseudomonadota; Gammaproteobacteria; Enterobacterales; Enterobacteriaceae.
GACAGCCAGGAUGUUGGCUUAGAAGCAGCCAUCAUUUAAAGAAAGCGUAAUAGCUCACUGGUCGAGUCGGCCUGCGCGGAAGAUGUAACGGGGCUAAACCAUGCACCGAAGCUGCGGCAGCGAACGUAUCACCCAAGACAACUUUACGGAGUUGACGAUUGACGGAGCGAAGCGACGUCAAAGCGUUCAUUAAAGUCGAGUUGGCUUAGGGAUACGUUCGUUGGGUAGGGGAGCGUUCUGUAAGCCUGUGAAGGUGUGUCGUGAGGCAUGCUGGAGGUAUCAGAAGUGCGAAUGCUGACAUAAGUAACGAUAAAGCGG